CCUACGGGUGGCAGCAGUGAGGAAUAUUGGUCAAUGGACGCAAGCCUGACCCAGCAAAGCCGCGUGAAGGAAGAAGGCUCUCGGGUUGUAAACUUCUUUUCUCAGGGACGAAGCAAGUGACGGUACCUGAGGAAUAAGCCACGGCUAACUACGUGCCAGCAGCCGCGGUAAUACGUAGGUGGCAAGCGUUAUCCGGAUUUACUGGGUGUAAAGGGCGUGUAGGCGGGACUGCAAGUCAGAUGUGAAAAGCACGGGCUCAACCUGUGGCCUGCAUUUGAAACUGUAGGUCUUGAGUACUGGAGAGGCAGGCGGAAGUCCUGGUGUAGCGGUGAAAUGCGUAGAUAUUAGGAGGAACACCAGUGGCGAAGGCGGUCGUCUGGACAGCAACUGACGCUGAGGCGCGAAAGCGUGGGGAGCAAACAGGAUUAGAUACCCUUGUAGUC
This 443-nucleotide ribosomal RNA is filed under the name uncultured bacterium. RNAcentral's name for it is "partial 16S ribosomal RNA". It matches the Rfam family "Bacterial small subunit ribosomal RNA", at positions 338 to 795 of the family's 1533-position model. The record is from RNAcentral.